GCUGGGCGUGGUGGUGCGCGCCUAUAAUCCCAGCUACUUGGGAGGCUGAGGCAGGAGAAUCGCUUGAACCUGGGAGGUGGAGGUUGCAGCGAGCUGAGAUUGCACCACUGCACUCCAGCCUGGGUGACAAAGUGAGAUUCUGUCUCAA
Non-coding RNA from Callithrix jacchus (white-tufted-ear marmoset), 148 nucleotides. Lineage: Eukaryota; Metazoa; Chordata; Mammalia; Primates; Cebidae. The record is from Rfam.